Molecule: long non-coding RNA, 1697 nt
Organism: Polypterus senegalus (gray bichir)
Lineage: Eukaryota; Metazoa; Chordata; Cladistia; Polypteriformes; Polypteridae
Exons: 3
Source: RefSeq, a predicted model, not a curated record
GCUCCAUACUUGCUACUCAGACUGUUUAUUAUUUUUUUUAUAAAGUAACAUUGAUUAAUUCCACUCGGUGUCUUUCGUAACUAGGGAUGGAGAGGCAUUAUUGCAAGGGUGCUGUAGAGCCCAAUACAGAUAAUUGUUUUAAUGUGCAUGUUUUUAUAAUAUUAAGAAAGCAAGUGUACUUUAUUUAGCCAGAUAUUACCUGGAAUAAUGUUACAAAUACCAAGUGUUCCAUAAAUGUGAUAUACAGUAUAAGCAGAUUCAAGCAACUUAUAAAAUCAGGCAUAAUGAAUAUGCACAGCUUUGGUCAUCGAAUCCAAAAAGAGAACAUAUGCAAAACCAAGCAACUGGUUCAAAGGAUGACUUCUGAAGGAGAGAAAAAAAGACACCUUCAAAACUAACCAAGCUUGGUACCUCGCAUCUGAAUUCUUCCUCAUGUCCCGACUGAGCUGACUCGUGUUGCACCCCACAAAUAAACACCCUGGUGCACUGCCAAUGACCUGUGCCCUUUCACAGCUGAUACCACUUUACAAUGCUCAAGUGGCAGAGCCAGCCUAAUGUCACCACACCUGAGCCCAUCUUCUGGCUAUUUAGGUCAAAACAGAAGAAGAGCUCAGACAUGGGGCAAUGAAUUCUAGGUGAGUUAUGAAUAUUGUUUUAAUAUUGUAUUUACUGCCUUUUUGAUAUUUUACAGCUUUGUUUUAAGUUUAUGAAUUCAUGAUCUCGUAUUGAAACUUGUUAUCUGAUGCUUGCCUUUUAGGCAACUGUGCUUUUGUUCCCUUUUUGAGGUUUUGUUAUUUUUCUCUGUUGCUUUCAUUUUUAGUAAGAUCCUUUUUGUAGUCUUUCUCUCCGAGACAAGGUUUUAUGGUUUCACCUUCUCUUGAAGGGCAUGUCAAUACUUUGGGACAAUUUAGUGUAACUUUAAAGAUUUAACCCCUUUAGUCCUGUAGGUCAAAGCAGGCUUGUGAGUUUAGGAGUCAAGCACAUUGGGGUGAGGCCUAAUCCAGCCAGGCAAAGGAGGACAGACCUGGCUUGUGAAGGCUUUUGGAGGCCUCACACCCUGUUCUCUAUGGAAUUGUCUCCAAUUCAUAACAGAAGAACAUUCUAGCACCUGGAUCUUAUGCCCAAUACUUCUCCAUGAGAAAGCAUCCUCAUUAGACCUCCAAACACCCUUACCUAGCUCCUUACAACCUGUAGUAGCAGCAAAUUCUACCCAAGAUCAUUCAAGAUAGUUGGACAGUUCUAUGCAUCAUGGAGAGUGAAAACCACCAUCCUGCUGGUCUUAUGAACUUAAUUUUGACCGUUAUUAUCUGUUGUCACAUUUGUUUCAGUAAAUACCCACAGUUCUUGAUGGUAGACAUUGAUGAUAAAGUAGAGUUACAUUAAACAGUGUUUUACCUAAGCUCCCACUAUGCUACUAAUGUUUGGUGCAAUACCCAGAGCUCAGCCUCUACUCCAUUGGUGAAACAUUCACAAUAGCUGAUUCCUUCUCACGUGCAACAAAAAACAAGUCUUAUGUGAAAGAUAACUAUAACCUUAGGCUUCAAGCAUUUUGUUCUUGGUUUGAAUCCACUCCAGUGUUUUAUAAUCCUUGCAUCCUGAGACCCUUUUAUAUCAUGUUUAUAAAAAUCAUGAAUAGGAUCUGUGCUGGUAUCCCAAAGGUUGCCAGUUCGAAUCCCCAUCAUUGCCAAAAGAGAUCA